GACGAACGCUGGCGGCGUGCUUAACACAUGCAAGUCGAACGAUGAAGAAGAGAAACGCGGACUUCGGUUCAAAUUUCACUUCGGAGUAGUGGCAGACGGGCGAGUAACGCGUGAGCAACCUACCUCUUACAAAGGGAUAGCCUCGGGAAACCGUGCUUAUUACCAAAUGACACAUUCAUAAGGCAUCGUAAGAAUGUUAAAGCUACGGCGGUAAGAGCUGGGCUCGCGUCCCAUUGGCUAGCUGGUGCGGUAACGGCCCACCAAGGCGACGAUGGGUAACUGGCCUGGGGAGCUGCCCCGUCACGUUGGAGCUGCGGCCCGGUCCACUCUCCUACGGGGCGCUGCAGUGUGUUGUAUUGCGCGCUGGAGGGUGCUCUGGUGCAGCCGCGCCGCGUGUGCGAUCAAGGAAUUCGUUUCGUAAAUCUCUGUUCUAUGGGAAGAAAAUGACGGUACCAUAGGAGAAAGCCCCGGCUAACUACGUG
RNAcentral lists this ribosomal RNA (482 nucleotides) under uncultured bacterium. RNAcentral's name for it is "partial 16S ribosomal RNA". It matches the Rfam family "Bacterial small subunit ribosomal RNA", at positions 28 to 507 of the family's 1533-position model. The record is from RNAcentral.